UUCGUCACAACGGCUUCCUGGCGUGACGGACGACCCCCAAUGGAGCA
This 47-nucleotide non-coding RNA is filed under the name unclassified sequences. RNAcentral's name for it is "SAM-SAH-Weickhmann-2018 RNA". It matches the Rfam family "SAM/SAH riboswitch aptamer". The record is from RNAcentral.